Molecule: transfer RNA, 70 nt
Filed under: Mungos mungo (banded mongoose)
Lineage: Eukaryota; Metazoa; Chordata; Mammalia; Carnivora; Herpestidae
Description: tRNA-Thr
Source: RNAcentral
GUCUUUGUAGUAUAUAAAAUACCUUGGUCUUGUAAACCAAAAAAGGAGAUCACACACCCUCCCUAAGACU